RNAcentral lists this non-coding RNA (30 nucleotides) under Mus musculus (house mouse). Lineage: Eukaryota; Metazoa; Chordata; Mammalia; Rodentia; Muridae. The record is from RNAcentral.
UAAAAUGGAUGCCAUACUUGCAUUAAAGAU